UGGACUGGUUUCACAUACAGAUGUAAGUAUUUAAUUUUCUUCUUUCCACUUCACCACAUUAUAUUAUGUAAUAUUAUUAUUUGUGUAUUGUGUGUUCUCUACAGGUUGCAGCAUCUGCAUCUGAGGUUGAGAAGACACUCAAUCUACCUGCCAAUCCUCAUCUGAUUUUGCUGGUGUCCAGUCAACAUUUUUGACUGCAGUUGCAACAGUGUUUGCUGUGUACUACAUCUUCAACCUGCAGUAUCAAGAGGCGGCUUGUUGCACGUUAGAGUUUUUUCAAAGAUGAUUCUAUGGAAUAAACCCAGAAAGAGGCUCAAAAACCUGCCGAGGCAAGGUAGUCUCCAAGAAGACGGGGAAGGUGGUGAUUAAGAAGUCCACUACAGUCAAUCCAAAGGUUGCCACUCUACAAAAAAAUCGAAUGGACUUCAAAUGGGACUUC
Carassius gibelio (silver crucian carp) is the source of this 439-nucleotide long non-coding RNA. RefSeq lists it as uncharacterized. The record is from RefSeq and is a predicted model, not a curated record. The transcript has 3 exons. Lineage: Eukaryota; Metazoa; Chordata; Actinopteri; Cypriniformes; Cyprinidae.